This 349-nucleotide long non-coding RNA is filed under the name Mytilus galloprovincialis (Mediterranean mussel). Lineage: Eukaryota; Metazoa; Mollusca; Bivalvia; Mytilida; Mytilidae. The record is from RNAcentral.
GUUGCUAAAUACUAUAUAUGUAAAUAUUAAAGGUUUCUAAAUGUUGGUAGUCAAAUUUUUUCAACUUUCAAAAAAAGAUUUAAAAAAUUACGUAUAUUAAUUAUAUGUCUUUUUGAAUGAAUUAUGAAUACUUAAAUCUAAUCAAUAUAUAUUGUUUUUAAUGAUUCAACAUUGAAUGAAAUAAUCAUUUACAAAUACAAAAUCUGGUAAUAAAAAGGGAAGAUAACUACACAUUUAAGUUAAAUUUAACUUAUGUUAACCGUGUGGAUCUAGUCAGUUCCAGCUAUUAGACAAUAAAAAAGACAAAAUACGAAAUUAUUUUCAUGAAAUUCAGUUGAUUCAUUGUCAG